This 292-nucleotide ribosomal RNA is filed under the name uncultured bacterium. RNAcentral's name for it is "partial 16S ribosomal RNA". The record is from RNAcentral.
GGACUACACGGGUAUCUAAUCCCGUUCGCUCCCCUGGCUUUCGUGUGUGAGCGUCAGGAACGCGCCAGUAGAGUGCCUUCGCCUUUGGUGUUCCCCACGAUAUCAACGGAUUUCACCCCUCCACCGUGAGUUCCCUCUACCUCUCGCGCCCUCGAGCCAAGCCGUUUCGUCCGCGGGCCGCGCGUUAGGCGCGCGGAUUUUACGGACGACUAACUUGGCCGCCUGGACACCCUUUACGCCCAGUGAUUCCGGGUAACGCUCGGGGCCUCUGUAUUACCGCGGCUGCUGGCAC